AGUUAGUUGGGGAAGUAGCUCAUAUCUCAACUCAUGCUAUGGAGGGUAUCUCAACUUACAACACUAUGCGAGUUAAGGGUACAAGUCAGAAGAGAUCCAUUUUUAUGUUGGUUG
RNAcentral lists this transfer RNA (114 nucleotides) under Arabidopsis thaliana (thale cress). Lineage: Eukaryota; Viridiplantae; Streptophyta; Magnoliopsida; Brassicales; Brassicaceae. The record is from RNAcentral.